UGUGUUAUAACAAUACAACAAAUAAUCUUUUUUCUUUAUAUCUUUUUGUAACACCCGAAAUCAGAAAGGUCAAGAAAGGAAAGGAAAAACCCUAAGUUGAAGAGGGUUGACUCGUCGAGUCCAGGGAGAAACUCGGCGAGUCAGAGUGGGAUCCGGAUGUAAAGCAAUUGACCGACUCGGCGAGUCGGCAAGUGGACUCGGCGAGUCAGGUCUGGGUUUGGAAACCCUAAUUUCGGGACUUGGUACCCUAUUUAAGCAUCUUAUUCUCUUUCCUAGGGCUCAGUUGCGGCCCUAUAGUCCAGAACCAGAAACCCUAAGCCUCCAUUGUUGCUCAUUCAAGUUUUCUUGCCAUUUUGGGUGGUUUGAAGGAAGAAGGAAGAAGGCUCACAUUGGGGAUUCAAGAUUUGGCAGUAGAUCUAGAGUUUGUGAGGUCUUCCAGAGCAUUUGAAGCUCGGAGAGCUAGAGGAGCAGCGGUUCAGGGGAUUGUCGAGUAGCAGCCAGAGGUUUAUCAGCAGAGCUCAGCAGUUCAGGUACUCGGUUUUCAAAAGAGGAGCUCAGGAAGAUUGCAGAGCACACGCCAUAGUCAGUUAGCCUGGGAAUGUUUGACUCUGAUAAUGAUAUUAUGUUUUGAAUUUAAUACUCGAAAGUUAUGUUUGACUUAUGAUACGUUGUUUAUAAAUCUAGUUUUAGUAAUGUUUUAAAAGAAAUUUUUAGUCGUGAUUUUUGGGUCGUUACACUUUUUAAAUCUUCUAUUUAAGUUCUCUUAACAUAUAGUAAUAUAAUAUAAGUUACUAACUUUAUUUUUUUAGAUUUUGGUUUUAAGAGUGUUCUAGUUAUUGGUGGAAUCUAUGUGGCCUUCAGCCACUUGGGUGAGAUAAGGACACUUGGAAUGUUACAUUCAAGAUUUAUAUGGGUUACUUCAGCUUUCUGUGAACACCUUGUGCCAAUGCAAAAAGAGGAGCCUAAAAGAUAUCAUGGAGAUUAUCACACAAGAUGUUAUGAAUGAUGGUCACAAGUGGUGAGGCUUUGUUUGCUUUUGACUGUCAAGGAAUCUGCAAUUAAUGUGCCUAGAAAUUUGAAGUAUCACCUUAUAUAUGAGAAUGCCAAAUGCUCCAACUGUCGGUAACAUGGUCUCAUAUAUGUAAGUAAUAUUCCAACUAUUCACUUAUUUCAUCCAUCACUGUCCUUAAGAUUAGAUUUUGUUGGUUGUGUAAACAAGAACUUUAGUGUUUUGACUCCAUAUGUUCUCUAUUCAUAAGAAGGAAAAUGAAGAUGAAAUUUCAAUUAUAUUUUACCUCCAGAAGAUAGAAGAUAUAUCCAGGUAUCUGCUGAUAUUAGUUUUGACUGUUGUCCCCUUUAUUUAGAAUCAAAGAACGUGAAGUUUGUAAUUGGAUGCUGAAUAGGGCUGGAAUGCAAUUAAGAAUGGCCGCUAGGAAGGAGUCUGGUUUUGAUAUCUUGACAUCUAGUACAGUUGUACGAGUAAUCUAGUAUGGUUGUAUGAGGAGAUCGUAUGGUGUAUUAGAUGGGUAUGUGUUUGAGAGGAUUCAUAUCAAGUACGGUUGUGUAUUGGUGUAUUAGAUGUGUAUAUAUGACGUAUUAAAUGAUUGUAUGCGAUGGUUGUAAAAAGUAGAUAGGAUACAUAUAGAACGGCUAAAUAGCCGUACUCUAUUAGACAUGUCAUCUAAUACACCCCUCUACUAAUACGCCUUCUAUGUACGUACUAUAUUUAUAAUUUCAACCGUACUCUAUUAACCUUUUUUCUAGUA
This is a non-coding RNA of Lactuca sativa (garden lettuce), 1766 nucleotides long. The record is from RefSeq and is a predicted model, not a curated record. NCBI's taxonomy places the organism in Eukaryota, Viridiplantae, Streptophyta, Magnoliopsida, Asterales, Asteraceae.